GCAUUAUAAGUUAACAUGACAACUCCUAAGUACAUGCCACAUAUAUCUGAGUAUAACAUAAUCAAAAGACUACUGAACCAAUAGAUAAAUAGUGUAACUCCGAGGUGAUCAGAUCGAUGCACUCCAUAUUCAACAAACUACAAAAGGAAGAAGACAAUGGUAAGCAUAAUGAAUACUUAGUAAGUUCAUACAAAAUUCAACUUAACUUGCCUAAAAUUAUGUCAAUUUAAUCAAUAAAAAUACAAAGAUGCUUAUCAUGAUAUUUUUUUUGACAUCCUUAGGCACUCUUGUACAAGUUCACAAAACAACCUCAAGUUAGUACGUUGGAAUAAUAAAAUCAAGGUGCUCAAAUCUCAUACAUGUACCACCAAACCAUUUGCUCUAUACUAUUCUAACAUAUAUAUUUAUAAACAUAUCAACUAAAUUUAUAAUCGAUCUCACCAACUAUUUCCUUUCCGAUUUGUUACCAUUUUUGCUUGUAGAACUAUAAUAAACUAACUUUGUAAACAUAGAACCAUUUUGCUCACAUAAACUUUACAAUUCAAGUCUACUCACACACGCUGUAGGUCAGGAUUGUUGAUAUAAGUGUUAUCUGAUGCUGCUCUCACAAGUUGUAAAGAAUCUGCAACAUAUGCUGGAUUUCAACCAUUGAUAACUAAGUCCCUGACCAGCACCAAAACUAUAUCAUUUGGGUCUACUUGCAUAAGAUGUAGGUCGGAAUUAUUCAUAUAAGUGUUAUUUGGUACUGCUCACACAAGCUAUAGAGUAUCCACAACAUACAUUGGAUCUCAACCAUCGAUAACUAAGUCCCUGAUCGUAAUGGUUUGUCAUCCCUACCUUAGUCAUUUACUAAAUACGUCAGAGCCUUAUUCUAUACUCGUACCAUUUUACUAUAUGUAACAUCAUCAUAUAUACAAUUUCAUAUCAUUCAAUCAUAUGUAUAUAUUUCACAUUUGUUCGAUAACCCGUACUUAUUAAAAAUUGUCUUAUAUUUCAAACAUUGCAAUUUAGUCUAAGUCAAAAGUAACUAUAAUUAAUUCCAACUCAAUAUACAAACAAUAUUAUAUAUAUUAUGUAAAAAAGGGAAAUCAACAUAAUAAGUUCCAUAUGAACUUACCUGACUAAAAUAACAACGAACGAGAUGUCGAGGACUAAUCGUAAUUUUGUUUUUUCCUCAAAUAUCCUUUGACUAGUUUAAUUUUUGAUCUAUAUAAUCAUUCAUUUUAAUUUAUCAAUGUCAAACAUUUAAAUGAAAAUCCAUGAUAUGCAUGAACCUAUUUAAUUUCAUUUUUACAAAACUCCUAAAAUUUUACACUUUAUUCAAUUUAGUCCCUGAAAUCAAAAUUAUCAUAACUUACACAUUUGAGCUUCAUUUUACAAUUUGAUUUCAAUUACGACCUUAUACUACUCUCCACUCUCUAUUUUUAUCAAAAUCUCAUGGUAGUUUUGUAACUUAUUCAGUUUAGCCUUAUGUUAAAAAAUUAACACUUAAACUUUACAAACUAGUCAUUUUUUUCAUUUCUAAGCUUAAAAACUAAUAUUUUAACACCAAAACUUCAAGAAUUCAUUAAUGGAAACAUUUUGAAACUUUAAAAGUUUUGAAAAAUAAAACAUGGAUUAGCUAAAUUGAGCUAUCACGAUCUCAAAAACACAAAAUUUAUGAAAAAUGACUUCAAACGACUUACCAUGAGAGGAUGAGAAGCUUGGCCGAAUGAUGAAGCUUCCAAAAAUGGUUUAUCGGGUGUGUUUGUUUGAAAUUUCAGUGGAAGUAAAUUAAAGGUGGGUUUGGAUAGGCGGUACGUUUACCUGUGGUUAGUGUAAACAGCGGUGGCAGUGAUAUUAGAUAGUGUAGCGAUGCUGUAGUGUGAGACAAAAAGUAAACUAAACGCACUGAACUACACCUAAUCGCCCAUCCAAACCCAUCCUGAAUGGAUGAUGAUGCAAUUUUUGUUUUUAUUUUUAUUUUUAUUAUUAACAUAUAAUAAUAGUUUAAUUAAUAUUUUAACCCAUAAUUCUCUUAAUAAAAAGCAGUUAACCUUCCACCGCUUUUAAAAAUGCUCUAACUGCCAUUGAAACUUUAGUUUAAUUGCUAAAUAGGUUUUUUAAUAAAUAAAAAUCUAUAACAAUUAACUUUUACCACUUUUACAAUUUAAUUCUUGUAUCUUAAUUAACUAUUCGUUCAAUAAAAUUACUAGACCGAAAUUUAAUAUAGUAUUAUAAUAUACUCACAAAUAUUAAAUAAUAAUAUUUACAAACUCGAUCAUUAAAAAAUAGGAUUCCAAAAUCACCGUUUCUGGUACCACUAAAAAAAUGGGCUAUUACAAUUAAAUUCAAGAUAGGUGGCAGAAUAGAAUUGUGAUGUGGCAUUAAUGAUGACAUAAUUUAAAAAAUAUAUUAAAAAUCUAAAAAAAAUUAAAAACCAUAACUUUUAUCGACACUUGAAUACAUAUAUUGGAUUCCAACUUAAUUAGCAAACAAAGAUAUGUCAAAAUUCACCCUUCCAACUCUUCCAAACAACCACAACUCAAUAAAGUUAAAUUACUACAUAAAGUAACUAGGUGAACUACAACACCAUGAACACCAUAAGCCAAGUUUCCAAGUUCUUAUCAUGACGUAGAUCAUUCAUUUACUAACUUUUAGUACCUAUAUCUCAAAUAUAUACAAAUCUCAUAAAUAAAUAAAAAACUCAUAUAUUAAAAAACAACUAACAAUCUGAAAUGUAAUAAACUUCAUAAUCAAAAUCAUGGAUUUCAGUCAUAGUUAAUCAUAAACACGAAAUUACUGUUUACUCAUAUCAUGAAAAAUCCCCAUUUGAGGAUACAUACAGAUAUUUGGAAAAAAAAAAAAAAAACCUCACCAUUUAGGUGCCUCUCGACUUGAGUCAUAUCUUUAAAAAAUUUAGAUACGAAAAUUUCAUAAAAAAAAAUCUUAAAAUCUAUAGAGGAAGUAACCUUCGACAUUGAGGAGGACUGCAAUUUCGAGAGCUACCGCUACGAGAAAGAGAGGAAGAAGAGAAAGAUCUGGAGCAAGAAUGAGAGCUAGACGAGGAAGCAAAUCUAGAGUAGGACACGGAGUGAGAGCGAGAAUUGGACUUAGAGUUUGAACCGGAAUAAGAGUAGGAACAAGACCUAGACCGUAAACAAGAACAGGAAGAGGAACCGGAGUUGGAGACAAAACGAGAACGACGACCUCUCAGCUAGAUUCAUAUCUUUAAAAAAUUAAGAUAUGAAAAUUUCAUUAAAAAAUCUUAAAAUCUACAGAGGAAGUAACCUUUGAUGUUAAGGAUUACGAUUUCGAGAGUUACCGCUACUAGAAGGAGAGGAAGAGGAGAAAGAUCUGGAGCGAGAACGAGAGCUAGACGGGGAAGUAGAUCUGGAGCGGGACACAAAGCGAGAGCGAGAAUUGGAUUUGGAUUUGGAGUCUGAAUCGAAAUAAGAGCGAGAGCUAGACCUAGACUGUGAACAAGAACAGGAAAAGGAACCAGAGUUGGAGACAAAACGAGAACGACGAUCUCUUGUUGGCUUUACGAUUUGCAGAAUACAAAGAGAGGAAUAGUAGAGAUAAGAAACCAUUUUUUUUUAUAUUUUUAUCUUUUGAAAAUGUUUUUAUUGAUUUUUAAUAUUUUUUAGAUUAUGACAUCAUCGUGAUGUUUGAAGGGCG
This 3660-nucleotide long non-coding RNA is filed under the name Gossypium barbadense (sea-island cotton). Its description in RNAcentral is "long non-coding RNA (GBAR_LNC010412)". The record is from RNAcentral. Lineage: Eukaryota; Viridiplantae; Streptophyta; Magnoliopsida; Malvales; Malvaceae.